AUUGAACGCUGGCGGCAGGCUUAACACAUGCAAGUCGAGCGGGGAAAGGUAGCUUGCUACCUGACCUAGCGGCGGACGGGUGAGUAAUGCUUAGGAAUCUGCCUAUUAGUGGGGGACAACAUCUCGAAAGGGAUGCUAAUACCGCAUACGUCCUACGGGAGAAAGCAGGGGACCUUCGGGCCUUGCGCUAAUAGAUGAGCCUAAGUCGGAUUAGCUAGUUGGUGGGGUAAAGGCCUACCAAGGCGACGAUCUGUAGCGGGUCUGAGAGGAUGAUCCGCCACACUGGGACUGAGACACGGCCCAGACUCCUACGGGAGGCAGCAGUGGGGAAUAUUGGACAAUGGGGGGAACCCUGAUCCAGCCAUGCCGCGUGUGUGAAGAAGGCCUUUUGGUUGUAAAGCACUUUAAGCGAGGAGGAGGCUACCGAGAUUAAUACUCUUGGAUAGUGGACGUUACUCGCAGAAUAAGCACCGGCUAACUCUGUGCCAGCCGCCACCGUAA
RNAcentral lists this ribosomal RNA (501 nucleotides) under uncultured bacterium. Its description in RNAcentral is "partial 16S ribosomal RNA". It matches the Rfam family "Bacterial small subunit ribosomal RNA", at positions 30 to 523 of the family's 1533-position model. The record is from RNAcentral.